UUGUCUGGUGCUGGUCCUCGGAACUUUGCCUCCAAUGUUGUUCGCCCGCGAGGCUUUGUUCGACCUGCAGAUAGGAAUGAUGCAGAAGAUCAACCUCCUGCAAAACGGCGGCUUUUGUCUGCUGUUGUCAAGGUGGAGGAUGGAGAGAUUGUUGAGGAUCCUGCAGUGUCAAAGGAUUUGAAGAAGAAGCAAUCAGCUGAGGAGGAAAAUGUUGGGGUUGCCAUAGAGGAUCAAAGUGAUGGAAAGCCUUACAGUCUACAGGAGAGCAGUUGGUCCAGGAGGGAUGGCAAUCAUAGACCUGGAAGAAGGGAGGCUGAACAUCCAGUGGCUGAGCCUGUGCCAAGGGUGUUGCCAAAGGACGAGGAUCCAAGUUUGGUUAGCAGAAACAAAAGAAUGUUGGGGCAACUUUUAGGUACUUUGGAGAAAUUCCGGAAAGAAGAUAUGAAACUUUCAGGGACGGAGGCAUUUAAGCAAAGGUCAAAUGCUUUGCAAAGAGCGGAGCAAAGAGCACGAGAAGAAAGUGAAAAGCUGAGGCAACAAGAGCGUGAACAAAUUGCAGAAAAGAGAAGGAGAGAUCUGAGUCUUAGAGCACGUGUUGCUGCCAAAACAGAAGAAAAGAAGUUGGAAUUGCUGUUUCUUCGGUGGAGUGAGCACCAUAAAAAACUUUGCAAUUUUAUAAGGACUAAGGCAGAGCCCCCAAUUUAUUAUUUGCCUAACAAGCCAUUGGAGGAAGAUGCAACCUUGCUUGAGCAACGCAAAGAGCAGACAUUUUCAGAAUGGAAGGCUACUAGGAGAGAGGAACUGUCUGAAUAUCAGAAGCAGAUUGCAGAGCAGUAUCUUAGCAAUGUUGAAAAGGAAUUAGAAAGGUGGCAAAAUGCAAGGAAAGCAAGGAGACCUAACAAUGAUGCAAAUUUACAGGAAACAAUGGACAAAGAAUUGGACACCCAUAGGCUUGAGCAUGGUCCCAAGACAAGAAAGAUCCCUGGUGGAAGCAACAAUGAAGAUGAGGAUGAUGUAGAAGAUAUCAAUGUUGGGGAGGACGACAUGAUGGAUGAUGUGCUGGUAGUUGAUGAUAAUGGUAGAAGGGAUGAUGAAGCAGCCAAGCCAGAAGCUGGUAGCACCAGCGCACCCCUAGAUAAUCUUGAUCAGUAAUUAUUGAAGGCAUCCAAUGAAAUCCUUCGUUCAGGUUAUUCACUUGCUAGGUUUAUCUUGUCUUCUGUAUUUGCUUGCUUUUUUUAGGUUCUCUCUCUUUUUUUUU
Molecule: unclassified non-coding RNA, 1258 nt
Filed under: Hevea brasiliensis (rubber tree)
Lineage: Eukaryota; Viridiplantae; Streptophyta; Magnoliopsida; Malpighiales; Euphorbiaceae
Source: RNAcentral